This 351-nucleotide ribosomal RNA is filed under the name uncultured bacterium. RNAcentral's name for it is "partial 16S ribosomal RNA". It matches the Rfam family "Bacterial small subunit ribosomal RNA", at positions 338 to 706 of the family's 1533-position model. The record is from RNAcentral.
CCUACGGGUGGCAGCAGUAGGGAAUAUUGCACAAUGGGGGAAACCCUGAAGCAGCGACGCCGCGUGGAGGAUGAAGGUCUUCGGCUCGUAAACCCCUUUCGUCAGAGAAGAUAAUGACGGUAUCUAACGAAUAAGCACCGGCUAACUCCGUGCCAGCAGCCGCGGUAAUACGGAGGGUGCAAGCGUUACUCGGAUUUACUGGGCGUAAAGAGCGCGUAGGCGGGGUAGCAAGUCAGAUGUGAAAUCCUAGGGCUGAACCAUAGGACUGCAUUUGAAACUGUUUUUCUAGAGUAUGGGAGAGGUAGGUGGAAUUCUUGGUAUAGGGGUAAAAUCCGUAGAGAUCAAGAGGAA